This 264-nucleotide signal recognition particle RNA is filed under the name Crassaminicella thermophila. Its description in RNAcentral is "Bacterial large signal recognition particle RNA". It matches the Rfam family "Bacterial large signal recognition particle RNA". From Rfam's summary of the family: The signal recognition particle (SRP) is a universally conserved ribonucleoprotein involved in the co-translational targeting of proteins to membranes. The record is from Rfam by way of RNAcentral. Lineage: Bacteria; Bacillati; Bacillota; Clostridia; Eubacteriales; Clostridiaceae.
CUGUGCUAGAUGGGGAGGUAGCGGUGCCCUGUAACCUGCAAUCCGCUAUAGCAGGAUUGAUGCCUAUCGACGGUUUGUUGCUGUAGAGUCUGCCCUGUAUAAGUGGCGAUGAUGAUUGGGUCCUGCGCAACGAGAAUCUGUGAACCCCGCCAGGUCUGGAAGGAAGCAACGGUAAGCAGACACUCUCGUGUGCCGCGGGGUAGCCUGACCUGAGUUAACUGUACAGGUUACGUCUGUAGUAACAUAUCAACGAUAGGUGCACAG